UAGGCUCCCAAAUCUACUGGCACCCAUAAUGCACAGGCCUGCAGUAUGUGGCCCAGCGCGCAUGGCCCACAGCACAUGGGGCCUAGGAUGUUGCAUAAUCCACUGCACAGUCCACCACAUGGCCAAGAGACCGCACCACAUAACGCGGUCUUUGUCGUAGUUCACCAUGGUCCACGCAUGCAAUCGUGUGAUUUGACGGUCGAGGGGCAUGAUCAGAGGGUGUUUUGUGCAAUUGGAUGAUUCAGGACACAUGCGGGGUUGAUC
Molecule: long non-coding RNA, 264 nt
Filed under: Elaeis guineensis (African oil palm)
Lineage: Eukaryota; Viridiplantae; Streptophyta; Magnoliopsida; Arecales; Arecaceae
Description: long non-coding RNA (EGUI_LNC075098)
Source: RNAcentral